Phascolarctos cinereus (koala) is the source of this 980-nucleotide non-coding RNA. The record is from RefSeq and is a predicted model, not a curated record. NCBI's taxonomy places the organism in Eukaryota, Metazoa, Chordata, Mammalia, Diprotodontia, Phascolarctidae.
CUUGUGAGUGCUGGGGGGCGGGGGGUCGGGGCGGACAGGGCUGGGCUUGGCGGGGACCUGGCUCCCGGGAAUAGCUGCUGUCCUUUUCCCUUAGUUUUAAUUAACUGGCUCCUCUCUCAGUCCGACCUCCGGGGCCCUGGGAGGGGGAAACUGAGUCCCAGUUUCAAUCCAGGCAGGGUCCACUUCUUUGCCCUCCUGGAUUGCGUUGAGUUCACUCAAUACAGGCGGGGGUCGUGGUGGGAGGAACCGAAGGAAAUGGAUUCUGGGGUAAAGGGGAGGCGAUGUGCCAGAGGGGCACAGAGGUCAGGUUCCUAAGGUGAAGGGGGGUGACGUGUCAGCACCAGGCAACCAGGUUGGAGUGGAGCACGGGGGAGCUGAGGUGUGGGAGCAGCCCCUGGGCUGGGACUGAGGCUCGGUUGUGGAGCUAUGUGGACACGGUCCGCUAGGAGGCGGCAGAAGGCUGCGGACCCUAGAAGCAACGGGCUUCUCUAACCUGAGAGUUACGUUACUGAGCCUUGUCCCGAGGUGCCAGUUAACUAGCGGUUGGGAGUUCUCCAGAGCCAGAGGAUUUAGGAUGAAGAUUUUUAGAAAUCCUUCCCCUGUGGGGGAGUCUGAGGAUGGUAACUAGAGAGAAGGUCCCGUCAGGAGAGAAGAGUAGUGCAGUAGUAGCGCUACCCACAAGUGAAUAGGGACCAGAGAAAGAGAGGGUCAUGAGUUCUCCUCCUCUUAACCCUCAAACAAUGCUAGGAAACAGAUGCUUCUAGGACCAAGAACCGAGACAAUGUGCUGAGUUGGCAAAACAUGUCUGUCUGGAUUGGGCUGAAGAUGGAGACCCACAUCCAAGGCGUUAACUUGAAGCUCAAGGAACAUUGCUUGUUUGAACACAUAAAAAUAAACUGCCUUACUGAAAAAUCACUGAUACUUUAUCCCUUGAAAUGAGUUCAUUUAAAUGUAAAUAGUUACUAAGCAACUGUAGUUGG